UCCAUCAUCUAACCUUCAAGAACCUAGAGCAAAAACACCAAAGCCAAGUGAGCAAUAGUAAACACAAAUCAAACAUGAAGACCUUCAUCAUAUUUGUCCUCCUUGCUAUGGUGAUGAGCAUCGCCAGUGCCACUAGGCAACUAAGCCCUAGAGGCAAGGAGUUGCAAACACCACAAGAACAAUUCCCCCAACAGCAAUUCCCUCAACCACAACAAAUCCUCCAACAACAAUUCCCCCAACAACAACAAAUCCCCCAGCAACCGCAACAAUUCCCCCAACAGCAAAUCCCACAACAGCAAAUCCCGCAACAACAAUUCCCCCAACCACNNNNNNNNNNNNNNNNNNNNNNNNNNNNNNNNNNNNNNNNNNNNNNNNNNNNNNNNNNNNNNNNNNNNNNNNNNNNNNNNNNNNNNNNNNNNNNNNNNNNNNNNNNNNNNNNNNNNNNNNNNNNNNNNNNNNNNNNNNNNNNNNNNNNNNNNNNNNNNNNNNNNNNNNNNNNNNNNNNNNNNNNNNNNNNNNNNNNNNNNNNNNNNNNNNNNNNNNNNNNNNNNNNNNNNNNNNNNNNNNNNNNNNNNNNNNNNNNNNNNNNNNNNNNNNNNNNNNNNNNNNNNNNNNNNNNNNNNNNNNNNNNNNNNNNNNNNNNNNNNNNNNNNNNNNNNNNNNNNNNNNNNNNNNNNNNNNNNNNNNNNNNNNNNNNNNNNNNNNNNNNNNNNNNNNNNNNNNNNNNNNNNNNNNNNNNNNNNNNNNNNNNNNNNNNNNNNNNNNNNNNNNNNNNNNNNNNNNNNNNNNNNNNNNNNNNNNNNNNNNNNNNNNNNNNNNNNNNNNNNNNNNNNNNNNNNNNNNNNNNNNNNNNNNNNNNNNNNNNNNNNNNNNNNNNNNNNNNNNNNNNNNNNNNNNNNNNNNNNNNNNNNNNNNNNNNNNNNNNNNNNNNNNNNNNNNNNNNNAACAACAAUUCCCCCAACAACAAUUCCCCCAGCAACCACAACAACAAUUCCCCCAACAACAAUUUCCCAUACCAUACCCACCCCAACAACAAUCACAAGAAGCUUCCCCAUACCAACAAUACCACAACAACACCUAUCUGGGAACGACGUUAUAAGUAUCAGUGGCCGAUGAAAUAAAGAGAUGUACUACUAGACAGGUGAAUCAUCGUUGUUAGUCAAUGGAGCAUAAUGUAACGGGUAUAAAUAAAAUGAUGUGCACCAUCAUGUGUAACCCCGACAUGUACUAGUUCAAACAUGGGAAUAAAAGACAAAUAAGUUCUUUUCUGAAGCACAUUGCUGGCAAUCGUUAUAUUCAUGCCAUAUUUCGAUUUCCAUCGGUAACUCCAAUCUCAAUGUUAUGGUCUAUCUACUUAUUUAUGAAGUGUAGUAUUAUGAACAUAACAUAAUUAACAUGUCUGAAAAUUGGCUCAAAUUGAAGUACUACUAAUUCAAGAGUAAGGAGUAAUUACAAUUUAACAUUUCAAUGGAGAGCUCUAAUUGUAGACUGCGUUGUUAAUUCCCCGAAGAGGAAAGGAUGAUGUAGUAUAGUAGAGAUAAGUGUUUCCCUCAGCUAAGAACCAAGGUUAUCAAUCCAGUAGGAGAACCGCACAAAACCUCGUUAGCAGCACCUGCACACACAAAAGCAAACACUUGCACCGAACGCAAAUAAGAGGGUUGUCAAUCCUCUUAGCGAUUAUUUGCAAGGAUUAGUUCUGACAGUGAUACAUAGAUAAAAUAAAUUACUAAAUAAAAUAAAAAUAAAUAAAUUGCAGCAAUGUAUUUUUGUGCUUUUAUAUAUGAUAAAAGUAGACCCGGGGGGGGCAUAGUUUUCACUAGAGGAUUCUCUCUUGAUCAUAAAACAUAUGGUGGGUAAACACAUUACUGUUGGGCAAGCUAUUAUAUACUAAAAGGAAAAUACUGGUCCAAAAUAGAGAAUAGGCUAGAAAAUCUGGCGUUAAUUAGAAAAUAUGAACCCUUGAUCCGUUUAAUUUUAAAAAUUAUAAAUCUAUGACCGUUCAAUAUACGUAACAAGGUCGGGCGUGGAUAACUUCCCGCGUAACGUGACACAUGUAAGAAACACAAACAUGAGUCCAGUUAAGGCAAACACGUAGAUGUGUUGAAGUGGGAAUGAAUAGAAUUGCUACGUCCGAAUAUGCAAGAGAUAGAAAAGAUGAAGAAAACUAAAGAACAUGUCGUGUUCAGAUUGGACUAAACGUAUGUGCGUAUACAACCACAACCACAAUCCGAAAGAUCCAGCCAUUAAUCCCGUGGGUCCAUCCAAAACAAAAGGUGGAUAUCCAUCUAAUUGCCCCACGUCCAUGGAACAUACUUAUUAGAGUCCACAAACAGUAGCCGCUGGUCUCUUUUACGUGAUCCUCCUUGCACUGUUAGGACUUUGCCGUCGGACAUCCUUAAGUUCUUGUGAAGUUCACAUCUAAAAAUACUAUCAUAGUAAAAAAAUCCAUUUCAUACUCCAAGAAAGAUAUCACCAUCCCAAAGUUUCAAUUGCAAUCUAAGUUUUGCCACAACUGGGUAUUUAAAACUUAUUUUACCACAGCUCGGCAAUUUCAGCCACUAAGGUUUUUGUGGCAGAUGAAGCAUCUUCCCAUUGGAAACUCCCAACUGUAAAAAGACUAGCAAAUUAGCAAUCAUUGGCAAAUCAGCAAUCUUAUAGCGGCAGCAGCUCCCAUCAAUCAGGUAACUCAUCUUCCAAAAAUCAGAGACAAUAAGCAACCAUACACAUCAUGCACAUAUGAUAUUAACAUAAUUACAUAUGUGAUUUCUGUGUUGAAUUUCGUACAACAUUACCAUGAAGAGAAGCGCAUCCACAUGGCAAGUAAUUUCCAAAAGCCGCCAAAAAGGUGAAAAGCAAUCAAAUAUGCAAUCCAACAAGUUAAUUAUUAAGCUAUAGACCAUGCAUGUUUCAGUGGUGCAUACAAGAUCAGUAGAACAAAUUCCUAGCCGUUACGACAUUCAUCAGGGAGGCGAGGACUAUGAAGCGACGGGUUGCGAGCUGGAGGGAAUGGCGGCGCACCCCGUGUCUCAGCCGAGAGAGGAGAGGCCGGGGAUAGAAUUAAGAGAGACACGAGUGAUGUCAGAUGAUAGGCUAGGGAUCGUUGGGCGUUCUCACAUAUUGCGUGGAGGAGGUUAGCUAAAUGGGCCAGCACAAAGGCCCAGUCAACCGCAGGUGGCAGAGUUUUCUCCCAGUGCAGCAGCCCUUUAGGACAGUUGAGCCAAGAAAUAUAGUUACAAAAUUAGGAAUUCAUCCAACAGUCAGAAAUGAUCUAUACAAGUGAUCUGAUAGUUACAAAUGUUGAAUGCUUGAGAGAGCUGGGAUAAGGCUAAGUUUUACUGUCCUAAAUGUAUUAGAUAUGUAGAAUCUGACAGUUAUUAAAGUUUAAUUGUCCUUCAGAAAAAACUAUGGCUAAUCACCACUACGCUAAUUACUUUUUACAAUUGUUGUACAUGAAUGGGGGUUAGGCAAGCGUAACACUGCUGAUGAGGGUCCCAAACCCGAUAAAGGUGGAGGGUGCAUAAUCAAAUUAACAUCUAACACUAACAUGCAAUACCUUUUAAGUUCAUAUAUUGAUUCAAUCGCAAAAGGGAAAAAUGAAACAAAAGUAGGCAGCGGGACCUGGAAGUCAACAGAGGAAACAGAAGGGUAUGCUCAUCGUGUGGAAUCGUUUGUGGGGGGCGAGCUGAGUAAACAGAGGAAGGUGAUCGAACGACGUCUCAGGUUUAUUUGUUUACUGAACAGACAGACAUGUGUAAGUUUUUUUUCCCUUUGAGGGGAAAGACGUGUGUAACUAGGGAGGGAUGAUUUUGCACGUUCUGUAUUUUUUUCCACCAGAAAACAGAUACUACUUUAACAAAUAAAUCCUACACUAAAUAUUUUAUAUGCUGCAAAUUAUAGGCCACAUACGCAUGAGCCUAAAUUAUAGGCGACUAUUUCAUAGGGUGAAAGUAAACAAAAUAGAAAAUCUUAUAGGCGACAUGAGCAUGAACCUAAAUUAUAUAUUUUAUAUGCUGCAAAUUAUUUUAAAAACAUGUGAAAAUAUAGUGCAUGAUCAUCAGACCAAAAACUCUAGCCUGUACAAAACACUCAUAUUUAGACGUAUAUUUCAUAUGGAGCUGCCAAUUCAUAUCAAUCCGGCACUACAACAGUAACACUAUCGUGCAGCCGCUUAAGUCAAAUCUAAAGUUAAAGCUAAUCAACACAAAAUAUCCAAUGUAAAAGGAAUUACUUAUACUAAAAAUAUAAAAUAUACCUAAGAGUGCGAAAGAUGACGAAUAUUUACUAUAAGAGUGCUAGCCCUCGCAUUUGCGAGGGCCACCUUGCUAGUUGAUAAAAAACAAAUAAUUAUGAUGGAUUCAUGGCAAUGAUCAUGUAUAUAGGCAUCACGUUCGAGACAAGUAGACCGACUCCCGUCUGCAUCUACUACUAUUACUCCACCCAUCGACCGCUAUCCAGCAUGCAUCCAGAGUAUUAGGUAUAAAACAGAGUGACGCCUUAAGUACGAUGACAUGAUAUAGAUAAAGUAAAUUCAAGAAAUAUGAUUAAACCCCAUCUUUUUAUCCUUAAUUGUCAGCCCAUUGGCUGUUAUUUUCCCCGAUCUGACCAUCCGUGACGCUCCUGUUGUUCGCAACGCUACCGCUACGACUGCGGGAGCAUGUCAUUUUCGUUAUACAUGUAACCCAAAAAUAUCUCUAACAUUAAUGACAACAAUACAAAUACGUGUUAUGUCCCUUUUUGUCACUGGGAUUGAGCAAUGCAAGAUUGAAUCCAUCACAAAGCACCUCUCCCCAUUGCAAGAUAAACCAAUCUAGUUGGCCAAACCAAAUCGAUAGAUCAGGGAGAAAUAUAAAGCUAAAAUAAUCACGCAUAAAAGAGCUCAGAGAAGACUCAAAUAUUUCUCAUGAAUCAUAUGAUCAUAAACUCACGAUUCAUUGGAUCCCAACAAACACACCGGAAAAGAAGAUUACAUCGGAUAGAAAUCCAAGAACAUCGGGGAUAACUUUGUAUUGAAUAUCAAAGAGAGAGAAGAAGCCAUUUAGCUACUGGCUAUGGACCCAUAGGUGUGUGGUAAAAUACUCACACAUCAUCGGAAGGGCAGCAUGGUUUAUGUGGAAGCCCUUCGUGAUCGAUUCCCCCUCCGGCAGAGUACUGGAAAAGGCCUCCCGACGGGAUCGCGGAAAAACAGAGGCUUGCGGCGGAGAAAAAGUUUUCUCAUCUAUCUCUCUGGUGGUUAUGGAAUAUUUGUGAUUUAUAGUGGAAGAAUUAGGUCAGGAGGUGCCACGAGGGGGCCAUAAGCCUAGGGGCGCGGUGAUACGUCCAUUUUGCAUCAUGUUUUAUUACAGUUAUUUAUUAAGUUUUGAGCUAAUAUAACACUUCAUGGAGUAUUUCUAAUGCAUUUUCUCUCUUAAUAUGCAAGGUUUACACAAAGAGGGAGAAUACCGGCAGCUGGAUUUCAGGGCCUGAAAAAGCUACAUCAGAGAUCCCUAUUCUGCACAUCUCCAAAUGGGCUGAAAAUUCACGAAGAUUUAUUUUAGAAUAUAAAAAAAUACUGGGCCAAAGAUCCACGGGAGGAGGCCACCCAGGUGCCCACACAGCAAUAGGGCGCGCCCCACCCCUAGGGCGCGCCCUGAUGCUGUAUGAGGCCCCUGGCCCAAUUCAGGCCCCCUCCUUCUGGUAUAUAAGUCAUUUUACCAUAAAAUAUUUAUGGGGAGACUUUCAGGACGAGGCGCCGCUGCCACGAGGCGGAACUAGAGCAGGAGAAAUUUGGCUCUCCGGCGUGCAGAUUCCGCCGGGGAUACUUCCCUCCGGGUGGUGGAAAUCGAAGCUUACGUCAUCACUAACAACCCUCUCAUCGUGGGAGGACCAAUCUUCAUCAUCAUAAACCACAACACCAUCUCAUCUCUAUCCCUAGUUCAUAUCUUGUAUUCGAUCUCUGUGUCAAAACAUUAGAUUGGUACUUGUGUUUGACUAGUAGUGUUGAUUACUUAUCGUAGUUGAUGCUAGUGGAUUUGUUUGGUGAAUUACCAAAUGUUCUGAUCGUGCAUCCAAAUUAUAUUCUCUCUGAUCAUGAACAUGAUGAUGAUGUGUGAGUAGUUACUUUUAUUCUUGAGGACAUGGGAGAAGUCUUGUCAUUAGUAAUCAUGUGAUUCCGGUAUUCGUUCAAUAUUUUGAUGAUAUGUAUGUUGUGAUUCUCUUAGUGGUGUCAUAUGAACGUCGACUACAUGACACUUCACCAUUGAUGGGCCUAAGGGAACUCAUUGUGGAGUAGUAAUUAGAUGAUGGGUUGCUAGAGUGACAGAAGCUUAAACCCCAGUUUAUGCACUAUUCCGUAAGGGGCUGAUUUGGAUCCACUAGUUUAAUGCUAUGGUUAGACUUUGUCUUAAUUCUUUUUUCUUAGUUGCGGAUGUCGGUGUCAAAACCGACAGAUCUCGGGUAGGGGGUCCCAAGCUGUGGGUCUAGGAUCAAUAGGUAACAGUGACGAUGAACACGGUGUUUUACCCAGGUUCGGGCCCUCUGGAUGGAGGUAAAACCCUAUGUCCUGCUCUUGUUUGUAUUGAUGAAGUAUCAAGGUACAGAGUUGAUCUACCUCGAGAUCAUAUGUUCUGGUCUAAACCCUAGGGGUAUGAUCAGUAAUGUCAUAAUGAUGAUAAUAAUCUAUCGACUAGCCUGGCCUCGGCUUAUAUAAUGUACCAGAGGCCUAGGAUAACAAGACACCUAGUUAGCUAUGUUGGUGGAGAGGAGUCCUUGUCUUGGUCACCAAGUCUUGUGGAAUCUUUCCUGUAUAUGUCAUCGGUUGUCCGAACUGGCCCAUUAGUGAGGUCCUCGGUCCGACCCACUGGUCGGGAGACAACGUGGUGAGUACCCCCUAGUCCAGGACACCGUCAGCGGAUGCUUGCGAGAGGGGGUAAUCAUAAGUGGGAGGCUUGUUCAAGUAAGAACAGCACCCAAGCACCGGUCCACCCACAUAUCAAAUCAUCAAAGUAGCGAAAGCGAAUCGAAUGAACAUGAUGAAAGUGACUAGAUGAAAUUCCCGUGUGUCCUCAAGAACGCUUUUCUCAUUAUAAGUACUAGUUCUGGCCUGUCCUUUGCACUAAAAAGGAUUGGGAUAUCUUGCUGCACUUUAUUUACAUUUGUCACUUGCUACUCGUUACCAAUUAUCUUGCUAUCAGACUACUCGCUACCGCUUGUUUCAGUGUUUGCAAAAAUAUCGUUAUUGAAAACCGCAAGUCAUUUCCUUUUUCUUCUCGUUGGGUUCGACACUCUUACUUAUCGAAAGGACUAUGAUUGAUCCCCUAUACUUGUGGGUCAUCACGCGGCCACCCACCUGGGGCGCUCCGUCCCUAGCUUAUCACUCCCUCGAGACUCCUCGGGUCUUCCCCGAAGCUUCCAGGGUCUCUUUUGGUCCAGAAAACUUAAUCCAAUGUUUUUCUGUGUUUGUACCUUUUUUAUAAUGAUAUUAUAAAAUGAUAAAAACAAGCAAAAAAUAACAACUGGCACUAGGCACUACGUUAAUAGGUUAGUCCCAAAAAAUGAUACAAAAAUAGCAAAAAGUUGCAUAUAAAACAUCCAAGAAUGAUAAUAUAAUGGCACGAAACAAUAAAACAUUACAGAUAGGAGGCGUAUCAAGCAUCCCCAAGCUUAUUUCUUGCUCGUCCUCGAGUAGGUAAAUGAUAAAAACAAAAUUUUUGAUGUGGAAUGCUACCUAACAUGUUUCAUCAUGUAAUCUCUCUUACGGUAUGAAUAAUAAGAUCCGAAUGAUUCAAAGCAAUAGUCUAUAAUUUGAUAUAAAGACAUCAAUACUCAGGCAUACUAACAAACAAUCAUGCCUUUCAAAAUAACGAUGCUAACCCAAGUUAUCCCUACAAAAUCAUAUAAUCCUAUCAUGCUCCAUCUUCUUAACACAAAGUAUUUAUGAUGCACUACCCCAAUGACAAUCCAGGCAAUUGGUUCAUACUUCUUAACGUGCUUCAGCUUCAACCCCCGCGCAAUACAUGAUGGCAAGCCAAGGACAUAACACUAUGGAUGGAAUAGAACAUGAUGAUAGAGAUCAAUAAGGGGAAAUCCAAAAUAAGAAGAUAGUCUCACAUCAAUGCGGCUAACAAACGGGCUAUAGAGAUGCCCAAAAAUUGAUGUCAAUGCAAGGAGUAGGGAUUCCCAUGCAACGGAUGCACUAAGAAGGCACCCAAGGUAAUAUCCAAGGAGACUCCAGCGUCGAAGCUUGGGGAUGCCCCGGAAGGCAUCCCCUCUUAAUUCUAAUGACUAUCAGUAACGCACUUGAGGCAACAUUUUUACUCAUCACAUGAUAUGAGUUUUUCUUGGAGCGUCUUGUAUGAUAUGAGUCUUUGCUUUGUUUAUUUUUAGUUUAUCACAAUCAUCACCUCUGAACGCAUUUGCUUGAGAUAGCUUCACGUCAUCAUGAUUUACUUGAAUUGCCCUUUGUGCUUCACUUAAAUUUGUUGAGCUAGGUGGUUGCUCUAGUGCUUCAUUUAUAUCUUUUUUAACACGGUGGUGCUUUUGUUUUGAAGAAACUUGUUCUCAUGCUUCACUUAUAUCUUUUUGAGAAUGCUAGAAAUUUUAUAAAAAUAUUAGUCUCAUGCUUCACUUAUAUCUUUUUGAGAGUUCGAAAUUAGUUAUGGUAAAAUGUACAAGCUAUAAGCUUGGUCUCCAUAUGAUGAAUAUUCAAGAAGGAUAAUGAUAACUAGUAUAAAAAAUUUAUGGGACAUGAAUAACUUGAUUCUUUGCAACAAUUUUGAGAUAUGUAGAUGAUAAUACGUGAGUUAUGUUCAUGAAUAAUUAUACUCUAGUAUGAAUAUUGAUGUUAAGGUUUAUGAUUCCCUAUGCAAGCACGUAAAGUCAAUAGUUAUGCAAUGAAGUUACAUCCUACUUGUGGUGCAUUAUUCGGUGUUGGUUAUGUUUUAUGUAUGCAUGUGCAUCAUUACAGUUUCUUAGUUGGUCGCUUCUCAACCAUUUUGCUAGCCUCCAUUCGUACUAAGCGGGAAUACUGCUUGUGCAUCCAUUACCUUAAACUUGUUUUGCCAAUUGUGUCCAUCAUACCUACAUAUAUACGGUAUUUCAUUGCCGUCCCAAGUAAAUUUGCAUGUGCCAUCUCUAAUAAUUUUCAAAAUAAACUUCUCUUUUGUGUGCCUGUGUUGCUCAUGAAGUGAUAAGGGGUGGACGAUGAAUUUCGUGUUGUAUAUGUCAUUUUCAUGAUGAGUGUUUAUUCACUUGUCAUUGCACGAGAGUGUGGCGGUAAUAAAAGGGAUGCCCAGUCCCAAAAAUAAAUUGAAUUUCCUGGAAUGUGUUGUUAUGGAGGGCACCCGUGAAUACGGCUAGACAUGGAUUGUGAAAGGAAAGGUGGAAAAACUAACUCCUUCGGAUGUGAAUGGAAAAAAGGGACAAAAGUCUCAAAACCAUGGAACGAUGACAGGGAGCAAACAAUUUCUUUUCAGUUUGGGAGCCGCCUUUGAUGUAUAUAACUUGGAUGGUAUCGAAAGCCUUGAGUCGUUGUCGUUGACGAGAAAAGCAGGCCUCCCAAAAUAAUUUUUUAUCUCUUUUUAAAACUUGAGGUCUGGCACCACUGUAAAUCAAUGCUUCCCUCUGCGAAGGUCGUUCUAUUUAUUUUUAUGUUGAGUCUCAUCCUUCUCAUUAAAAAACCAACUAGGGGGUCAUGUGAUCAUGUGUGCGCAUGGAGUAUGAUUGACAUUCGACUGUGUUUCAUAAAUGGAUCAAUGGUUGAGCAUAAUGGGCUAGGGAUAAUUUUCUUUAGCAUUGUUAUUUUGAAAGGCAUGGUUGCGUGUUAGCAUUGGAGGGGGUAUAUAUAGCCACCUCAUCGGUCCCGGUUUGUGGCUGGAACCGGGACUAAAGGCCACCCUUCUGUCCUGGUUCUAGGCACGAACCGGGACCAAUGGCUGUGGGCUAGGAACGAGGACCAUUGGUCCCAUUCGUGCCUAGAACCGGGACAAAUGGGUACACACGAACCGGGACAAAUGCCUGCCGAGGACCGGCCGGCCCCCUGGGCGCACGAACCGGGACGUAUGACCCCCAUGGGUCCCGGUUCGUGACUGAACCGGGACUAAUGGGCUGGCCAGGCCCCAACCAAAGCCCUGUUUUCUACUAGUGAGGGGCGACGCUCUGCGGAGUUCUCCCUCUUGGGGGCGUUGUCGUGGAGCUUAGGUGUGCUAGGUCGUAGCGUGAGCAUGUUUUGUUCUUCUGGUACUUGUUGCUGGUAGCAUAGAAGCAUGCGUUUUGCAUGUGCCGGAUAUCUCAGGAUCGACUUUGUAAGGGCUACCAAACCAUAUUGUAUCGUUUGACCAUGUACAGCUUUGGAUGUUGCUUUGUUUAUAAAGCAGGGCAAAAUCCUAUUUCGAGAAUAAAGAAAACAACAGCAACAGCAAACAGGUCAACAACUUCAGAAUAGUUUUUCUUUUAAAAUUUCACUUGCUUAAUUAACUACAUGCAUAGGACUUUCUACAGUGUUUUAGAGAAGGACAACUAUGAUUUGCUAGCUAGUUAGGUAUUUCAACAGAACAUUAACAGCAAGGAGAAGGAGAAGAACUGUUAACAACCAGGCAGGCAGGUGGAGAGUGAGUGUGUGAGAGUGAGGUCUCUCUGGCUUUUUCCUGUAUGGCUACUCCUACUUCCUUCGCUGACAAAGACCUGUUCUGAAUCCGUAAUACUGAUUCAUAGUAAUGAUGGUGGAUCGACUAUACCUUGACUUAUCCAUGUACAACAAAAAUUACUACGUACAUGAUUAAAAAUCCAAGGGUCAAAUCCUGAUCAAUUGAUCCAGCAAAUUCUUCAUGAAUCUAGCAUGACAUCAAGUGUGAUUAAUAGGAGUUUCAAUUAUAAUUAGCCUCCGAGAAGCUACAUGGAGGAGGAUGUAGUCGUGUUUUGUGGCCUUGUCAGAAACUUCGCUUUCCAUCAAUCUGAAAACAAGUGGUAGAGGGCAAAAGAAUGAAAAAAAACAUGUGUAGAGGAUACGCAACACAUAAAGGCCACACACACAAAAACAGCGGUAUGGUAGCUGGUCCAUGACAUUGACAAGUCAAUUGAUUUGCUGCAACCAUAUAUAUGUACGAAUAAUAUCGCCAAGGAUAAGAGAAGGAAAAAAUAUAAAUAUACCGAUAGGCUCUUAUUUAGUUCCUGGAUGCAUGUUGCAUGAGCCAAGUGUAUCGGCAGUAUGGCUUGUGUUUGCUGCAUGAUGGCGGCAGGUUCCCAUUCAGUUAGGCAUGCUAAGUCCUAAAUUCAUUUAUUCACGUAUCGGGUAGAAGGAGAACAAAUUUCAUUUCUUUUCUGUAGGUUCCUUGCUUAAAAGAAAAUAGAAAAUAUACACUUAUAUAAUUACGAGAAAAAAUCAACUGUAUGUCGCUCAGUCUUCCCUUUUUGUUCCGUAUCAGUAUCAACAAUCAUAGUACUAAUAGCUUUCUAUACUGGCGCUAGUAAAUUCAAUAAAAGAAACAUGGAGACUAUCUGAACAAUUUGAAACAAUAUAGACAAACUGAGAUCAACUAACAACAGAAAUCCAAAAGAAAUGUUCAUGUCUACGUGGAGUGAAUCGAUCAAGCCGUGCAAAGCCCUAACAAUUUGUUUUGUAUUAAUAACUCAUAUGAUAAUACAACUCCUCCAUAUGAAAAGGUAAUAUGAUGAUUCAUGAAUGCUUAUCCAUCUUAUAAAUAUAUUGUGCACAAAAUAUCGAGUUAGUUCAGAGAAAACGGUGUCUAGAACAAUCUUCACAUUAAUAGUGUGAUCUAUCUCAAUGACUCACACAAGAUUACAAAGUUUGUUCCCUUAAGUAUGCCAAUCUGGAUACGCCUAACAAUAUGUAGAACAUGACAAACUAAAUCAGAACAAGGGACAAAAUCUAGAUCAAUGUUUGAAGUGUAAAGUGAAUACGAUGAGUCAUUUGUCGUUAUCAAGCAUUCCAUACACCUAGAUGAUAUGUGCAAGAACAAUCAACUAUGACGAACAAUCCAAAAUCACGAUAGUAAGUAGUACCAUAAUACACAACAUACCAAAUUAUUGUAAAUGAUAAGCUUAAGAGCACUUUUUCAAGAAGCAAGUGUGAAGAUUACAAACUUAGUUCCCUUAAGUUAUGCCAAUCUGGAUACACCUAACAACAUGUAGAACAUCACAAACUAAAUCGAAAGACGGACAAAAUCUAGAUCAAUGUUUGAAGUGUAAAGUGAAUACGAUGAGUCAUUAGUCGUGAUCAAGCAUUCGAUACAGCCAGAUGAUAUUUGCAAGAACACAACAUACCAAAUUAUUAGGUCGAUAAUCUUAAGUGCACUUUUUCAAGAAAAGAGUGGGAAGAUGAAAACAAAAUAUGUCAUGCCUGCUAUAAAUACGACUACACCAUGUGGGUCUCUUCCAUCAUCUAACCUUCAAGCACCUAGAGUAAAAACACCAAAGCCAAGUGAGCAAUAGUAAACACAAAUCAAACAUGAAGACCUUCAUCAUAUUUGUCCUCCUUGCUAUGGUGAUGAGCAUCGCCAGUGCCACUAGGCAACUAAGCCCUAGAGGCAAGGAGUUGCAAACACCACAAGAACAAUUCCCCCAACAGCAAUUCCCUCAACCACAACAAAUCCUCCAACAACAAUUCCCCCAACGACAACAAAUCCCCCAGCAACCGCAACAAUUCCCCCAACAGCAAUUCCCGCAACAGCAAAUCCCACAACAGCAAAUCCCGCAACAACAAUUCCCCCAACCACANNN
This 12711-nucleotide long non-coding RNA is filed under the name Triticum aestivum (bread wheat). RNAcentral describes it as "long non-coding RNA (TAES_LNC012360)". Lineage: Eukaryota; Viridiplantae; Streptophyta; Magnoliopsida; Poales; Poaceae. The record is from RNAcentral.